AUGAAGAUUACCUCCUGUCUUCUCUAUGCUCACAAGAGAUAUAGCACACCUGCUAUUGAAUCAAGAUAGCUUACGGCAGUAAUAAAUUUUGAUUAUUAUGUGAAGUACGGUGUAUGGGUAAAAGAUAAUGCACUCUUCCAUGUAGCAGUAAUAUAUAAGUGUAUAACUAUAUAAUAACUCAGAGUUUAUCACGUAGAAAUAACUUUAAUAGUAUUUAGAGUGUAUUGCAAGCAACCAUCUUUUAGUUAUAAAACCAAAGUAGGAUUCUCUUUACGGUAUUGAAGUAUGCAGAAGAAAAUCUCAUUUCUGUUGGGAUGACUUUCCUUUCCUCUUCUCCAUGUAAAAGAAACCAGCCAAUGAGACUAUGGAGAAAGCAGAAAAGCAGACGGAUGCAAUAUCAAGUGACACGUGGCGACCCGUGAUUGCUUGUAUCUUGAACAAGUUGUUAACCUUAUGAGCAUCUGUGUUCUGGCCGUAUGCCACCUCUUCAUCCUGAGCAUUAAGUGCAUAAACCCUCGCAAAAUAUACUCCAGAAGGUAUAUCUUUCUCGACAGUCCACGUAAAUGAGUUGUUUGAAGCAGCGUAUGG
RNAcentral lists this long non-coding RNA (588 nucleotides) under Helianthus annuus (common sunflower). RNAcentral's name for it is "hypothetical non coding rna". The record is from RNAcentral. Lineage: Eukaryota; Viridiplantae; Streptophyta; Magnoliopsida; Asterales; Asteraceae.